Molecule: long non-coding RNA, 2672 nt
Organism: Hemicordylus capensis (graceful crag lizard)
Lineage: Eukaryota; Metazoa; Chordata; Lepidosauria; Squamata; Cordylidae
Exons: 3
Source: RefSeq, a predicted model, not a curated record
CUGACGUCAGGCAGUUGCCGCCUCCUCAAUAAAAGGCAGAGCAGCGAAGGCUGUAAUGUUCUAGGAGAAGUAGCCCUCUCUGCAUUUUCGUCGUGGAACUGGCUGGUGGUAGGAACUGUCCAUAAAAGCAGAUGAAGAAAUUCAGGAUUUUAGCUUGUGAUUAAACAGCAGCAUAUCCUCUCCAUGGUCCACCCUGCCCAUCUAAACAAAAGGUUGCAGCAGGCAGCAGUUCAUAUGUCAAGAUUUGGACAUAGAUAAUCAGAUUGGCAACUGUAACAGAGGACAGGAACACUGCAACAUACCCUUGGCAGAUUAUUUUGUACAUAGCAUCAAGAAUCCAUGGCAAAAGUGUCCCAAGGUCACAAGUCUACUGAGAAGGAUAUAAAUGAAGUCCUCAUCAUGUGAGUAGCUUGCCGAUGAAAGCAAAGACUACAGUGAAAAAAAUCUCAGUGCAAAGGGUCCUCAAUGUGUAGCUGUUCUGUUCAAGCCCCUUUUCCUUCUCCCUUUCUGUUUCCCACAACAUUUGGAUUCUACGUUCCUCAGGAGAGGGCCCACACAGAGCAUUACAUUACAAACACCAAAACUGUGCCUCAAACAAAUGCCAGAGUUGUAUGUUUUUUUGUAUGCAUCUCAUAUGUGUUCCCAUCUCUCUGCUUAAAAUGACAUGAAGCAAUACCAAAAAGGUAUCCCUUGUUUUAUAAAAACACUAGCCAAAUGAGAAUUCAAGCAAAGAAGAGGCUUUGCUUAUGAGACCGAACUGCAGUUCUCACACUAGUCAUAAAGACUGCUCUCACAGCAUGAGCUGCCUGGGUUACCCCAGGCAGUCGUGUUGUCUGGAGCUCUGGGAGCCCUGCACCUCUGGCUGCUCCAGUCCUGGGUAGCCCAACUUCUCUACUUGGCUUUUUUCUGAGGGAGAACAGACUGACACUUCUUUCUACCUCUGCAGGCUACCAUGUGUGCAAUCACCACUGGGAAGCUGGGCUUUCCCUGACCCGCCACCAUUUGGGGCAGUGAGCCGGUGGGAAGGAACGGCCAUGCAGAGUGGAGAGACUGCUCUACUGAGAGCAGCUGCUCACGCGGCACACACUAGGAUGCAGGUCACACUAGGAUGCAUCCUCUUCCUGGUCCUGGUCCCAGCUCAGAACUCUGCCGCCCCGCCACUCAUGUGAGUGUGUGACCCACCAGAGCCCACAAUGGCCACUGCUCAUCAGGCAGGCAAGCUCCUGCCUUCCCCCAGCCCUCCCCAGCAAAGGUCGUGAGCAUGACCUGACUGUUUAGUAAGUAAAAAGUCUUUUUUCCCAAAUCUCGGUUUGCACUAGAUGCAAUGAGGAAGCAAGAUUUUAUAUUCAUUUCUUUAAAAGCUGUGAUACUGGAAAGUUUACUAGGAUAUUUUAAUCUAUUUAUUUAAUUUUAAAUAGAUGCCAAAUGGGGAGGGGGGCAGGGAACCAAACUUAUAAAUGGCCAAGAAAAAUGCUACAAUCAUGUUCUUCUCAGACCCCAUACAGGGAGGUUUAACAAUUAUUCAUUAAAUUUAUUAUUUGACUGAAAGUUUCCAAGGCCAUUUAAGAACACAGACACAAAUAGAGAUGAAGUUUCAAUGUUUUAUUCAAGUUGGGUUUUUCAUUUUAAGUGGUGUCCAGUACAGCAUUUUGGGGUCUAAUUCCACACAAAAAAUGGAAGACUGAAGAUGUACCCAUUAAACUGCUAAAAAAAAGAGUGGUAAAACAAAGUCCAUUUUGUUUAAUGCACUGCCACUAGGUGAUUACAAUUACAAAGACUCUUCCCUGCUUAUGGUUCUGUUGUACAAGCUUUUCCAUAAUUAGUGCAAGGGAAAGGAACCACAACACAGGCUGUGAAUUUUAAGUAUUGGCUGAGUCACAUCAAACUUUCUACACGCCAAAGUUAUACAAAGUGAACACUCUAAAGCACUCCGAGAACAAGCUGUUGGUGUAAAAAGAGAGCUGUAGGUGUAGGAGGGAAAACUAAGUAAGACUUAAAACAGUGUAUGAUGCAUCUGCCUAAGCAGCCCCUUUUCAGACAGUUUGCACACUCCGUCAGAGAGCAAAAGCCUGAUCACACAGGGUCAGGAAACUGAGUUCCCUGAGCACUAUGAUAGACUGACAUUUUCAUAGCCAUAUAUUUCAAGUUUGCUUUGCCAUUAUCUUAAGAACAGUUUAAAGACAAGAUCAGACCUUCAUGGAGUAAUUGGUAAGUAUACAGCUCCAACAAGCAACAUUCCCCAAAGGUCUGGAACUGAAGAAUAUAUUCUCCUCCUCUGAAUACACACACUUUUGAAGCUUCGUCAUCUUUAACCUGGUUCAACAUGACUGACACAGCAAUAAUUGCAUCCCAGACAUAAAACAUUGAAAAGUACACUAAAUUCGGAAGGUAGCUAUGCUGUAAAGUAUUUCAGAAGUAGCAGUGGUACAAUCCCUUUUUUAUGCUUCAAAUUCCAGUCCUAGACCUAGUUUGUGGCCACCUGCAUUGACGUUCUUCCCAUCCAACAAAGCUGACAAUGUCAAUUUGAUACCUGUAUAGAAAACAUUAAGAAAAACAGCAUUCAUAAUUGGGAAUGGAAGGACAUUUCACACAAUCUGGACAAGAAAUGCUUGGAGUUAGUGGUUUAUUUUAUUGUGUUUGUUGUUAUAUAAUAAAGAACUAGGUUUUGUUUU